UGCACUGGCCUGGAAAUUUAUGACACGUGU
Molecule: non-coding RNA, 30 nt
Filed under: Macaca fascicularis (crab-eating macaque)
Lineage: Eukaryota; Metazoa; Chordata; Mammalia; Primates; Cercopithecidae
Also listed under: 1 other name
Source: RNAcentral